GGGAAUCUACCGUGCCCUGCGGAAUAGCUCCGGGAAACUGGAAUUAAUACCGCAUACGCCCUACGGGGGAAAGAUUUAUCGGGGUACGAUGAGCCCGCGUUGGAUUAGCUAGUUGGUGGGGUAAAGGCCUACCAAGGCGACGAUCCAUAGCUGGUCUGAGAGGAUGAUCAGCCACAUUGGGACUGAGACACGGCCCAAACUCCUACGGGAGGCAGCAGUGGGGAAUAUUGGACAAUGGGCGCAAGCCUGAUCCAGCCAUGCCGCGUGAGUGAUGAAGGCCUUAGGGUUGUAAAGCUCUUUCACCGGUGAAGAUAAUGACGGUAACCGGAGAAGAAGCCCCGGCUAACUUCGUGCCAGCAGCCGCGGUAAUACGAAGGGGGCUAGCGUUGUUCGGAAUUACUGGGCGUAAAGCGCACGUAGGCGGAUAUUUAAGUCAGGGGUGAAAUCCCAGAGCUCAACUCUGGAACUGCCUUUGAUACUGGGUAUCUUGAGUAUGGAAGAGGUAAGUGGAAUUGCGAGU
RNAcentral lists this ribosomal RNA (520 nucleotides) under uncultured bacterium. RNAcentral's name for it is "bacterial SSU rRNA". It matches the Rfam family "Bacterial small subunit ribosomal RNA", at positions 120 to 674 of the family's 1533-position model. The record is from RNAcentral.